This 497-nucleotide ribosomal RNA is filed under the name uncultured Glomeromycotina. RNAcentral's name for it is "partial small subunit ribosomal RNA". It matches the Rfam family "Eukaryotic small subunit ribosomal RNA", at positions 591 to 1092 of the family's 1831-position model. Lineage: Eukaryota; Fungi; Glomeromycota. The record is from RNAcentral.
CCAAUAGCGUAUAUUAAAGUUGUUGCAGUUAAAAAGCUCGUAGUUGAAUUUCGGGAUUAGUACGCUGGUCAUGCCUUUGGUAUGUACUGGUGUUACUGAUUCCUACCUUCUGAAGAACCGUUAUGUCAUUUAUUUGGUGUAGCGGGGAAUCAGGACUGGUACUUUGAAAAAAUUAGAGUGUUUAAAGCAGGCUCGCGCUUGAAUACAUUAGCAUGGAAUAAUGAAAUAGGACGUUGAUCCUAUUUUGUUGGUUUCUAGGAUUGACGUAAUGAUUAAUAGGGAUAAUUGGGGGCAUUAGUAUUCAAUUGUCAGAGGUGAAAUUCUUGGAUUUAUUGAAGACUAACUACUGCGAAAGCAUUUGCCAAGGAUGUUUUCAUUAAUCAAGAACGAAAGUUAGGGGAUCGAAGACGAUCAGAUACCGUCGUAGUCUUAACCAUAAACUAUGCUGACUAGGGAUCGGAUGAUGUUAUUUUUAAUGACUCAUUCGGCGCCUUACU